UGUCACAAAUGAUCUCAUUGUUCUUGGAAUUAUUCUGUAGUGGACAUCUUUGUCUUUAAGGAACUUUGACAAGUGAGCAAUCUGUGUUUCCAGAUGCACAUUUGCUGAUGAAGAUAAGUUCUUGUCUGAAAAUGCGUGCACGCACAUAGUGACCAACUAUAUACGUAAGUCAAGUCUGCCCCCUGGAAUCCAGGCUGGAAACACAGUGGGGCCUGGGUGUCCUCAGAUGGUGGGAGAGUGGGGGUCUGCUAUGUUUUCAAGGUUCUGUUUUGGUGUCAGAUUGAGGGAGAUAAACAGUCCAUUAAUUUAGCAGAGCAUCUGGGAUCUUUAAAGCCAGAAAUGGUCUUACAAUUUAUCAGUCUUAAUUUGCUUAUGCUGCAGUUAGACGGAGACGACCCCUGGGAAACACUGACAGAACGCAGGUGUUCUCCAUCCAGCUCAAGCACACACACCAGCAACGGCUGCACAGCCCUCCGCAACCCCAACUUCCUCAGCCUUUUCCUUGUGCUGUGCCAAUAUCCAGGCGGUCUUUAGUAGCAUAAACACACACUAAUUCCCUUAGGCAUCCCCUGGACAGGGUGAAACUUCUAAUCUAACAAACAUUUGUGUUCUUAAUUAGAAGACGGAGGGUGGUCGGCGUUCCGGGCCCUCAGACCCCGGAAGGGCUCUCCUGGGCCAGUGUGGCUGAGGCUGGGGAAGGGCUGGCACUUCGUCACUCUGCCUGAAGGACUUCAGGAGUAUUAAUUUACUGUCAUGGCUCAAAUGGGCCUUUGCUGCCAAGAGGCCAGAGAAGAUGCUGGGCAUGUUCAGAGAUCCCUGCCAGUCAAUUGCUUUUGUCUGCUGGGAAAACC
Molecule: long non-coding RNA, 851 nt
Organism: Choloepus didactylus (southern two-toed sloth)
Lineage: Eukaryota; Metazoa; Chordata; Mammalia; Pilosa; Megalonychidae
Exons: 3
Source: RefSeq, a predicted model, not a curated record